Molecule: ribosomal RNA, 380 nt
Filed under: uncultured eukaryote
Lineage: Eukaryota
Description: partial 18S ribosomal RNA
Rfam family: Eukaryotic small subunit ribosomal RNA
Source: RNAcentral
CAAUAGCGUAUAUUAAAGUUGUUGCAGUUAGAACGCUCGUAGUCGGAUUUCGGGGCGGGCCGGCCGGUCUGCCGAUGGGUACGCACUGGUCGGCGCGUCCUUCCUUCCGGAGACCGUGCCUACUCUUAACUGAGCGGGGGCGGGAGACGGAUCGUUUACUUUGAAAAAAUCAGAGUGUUUCAAGCAGGCAGCUCGCUCUUGCAUGGAUUAGCAUGGGAUAAUGAAAUAGGACUUUGGUGCUAUUUUGUUGGUUUCGAACACCGAAGUAAUGAUUAAAAGGGACAGUCAGGGGCACUCGUAUUCCGCCGAGAGAGGUGAAAUUCUCAGACCAGCGGAAGACGAACUACUGCGAAAGCAUUUGCCAGGGAUGUUUNCACUGA